RNAcentral lists this ribosomal RNA (1263 nucleotides) under marine sediment metagenome. Its description in RNAcentral is "SSU rRNA". It matches the Rfam family "Eukaryotic small subunit ribosomal RNA", at positions 3 to 1282 of the family's 1831-position model. The record is from RNAcentral.
CCUGGUUGAUCCUGCCAGUAGUCAUAUGCUUAUCUCAAAGAUUAAGCCAUGCAUGUGUAAGAAUAAACCGAAUAUGGUAAAUCCGCGAAUGGCUCAUUAUUCAGCCUCAAUUUAUUGGAUCUAAUCAGUUACUUGGAUAACUGUUCAAAAUGAAGAGCUAAGACAUGCCUCGAAACUGCAGCGCAAGCCGCAGUGCACUUCUUAGAAAAGACCAAUUGGCUUCGGCCAUCUAUUGGUGAAUCUGAAUAACUACGCAGAUCGCACAGGCUCGUCCUGGCGACAUAUCCUUCAAGUGUCUGCCUUAUCAACUGUCGAUGGUAGUUUAUUGGACUACCAUGGUUGUAACGGGUAACGGAGAAUUAGGGUUCGACUCCGGAGAGGGAGCCUGAGAUACGGCUACCACAUCCAAGGAAGGCAGCAGGCGCGCAAAUUACCCACUCUCAGUGCGAGGAGGUAGUGACGAAAAAUAACGAGACAGUCUUCUAUGAGGUCUGUCAUCGGAAUGGGUACAAUCUAAACCCUUUAACGAGGAUCUAUUGGAGGGCAAGUCUGGUGCCAGCAGCCGCGGUAAUUCCAGCUCCAAAAGUGUAUAUUAAAAUUGUUGCGGUUAAAAAGCUCGUAGUUGGAUCUUCGACCAUCAAGAGCGGUAGCCCAUUGGGUUUCACUGCUUCUUGUGGUCUCCUUGCUGGUUUUUCCUUGGUGCUCUUAACUGAGUGCCUUGGUUGGCUAGUGCUUUUACUUUGAAAAAAUUAGAGUGCUCAAAGCAGGCGUUUGCCUGAAUAGUGGUGCAUGGAAUAAUGGAAUAGGACCUCGGUUCUAUUUUGUUGGUUUUCGGAGCUCGAGGUAAUGAUUAAGAGGGACAGACGGGGGCAUUCGUACUGCUGCGUUAGAGGUGAAAUUCUUGGAUCGCAGCAUGACGAACAACUGCGAAAGCAUUUGCCAAGAAUGUUUUCAUUAAUCAAGAACGAUAGUUAGAGGUUCGAAGGCGAUCAGAUACCGCCCUAGUUCUAACCGUAAACGAUGCCAACUAGCAAUCCGCUGGCGUUAAUUUUGACUCAGCGGGCGGCUGCCCGGAAACGAUAAGUUUUUCGGUUCCGGGGGAAGUAUGGUUGCAAAUCCGAAACUUAAAGGAAUUGACGGAAGGGCACCACCAGGAGUGGAGCCUGCGGCUUAAUUUGACUCAACACGGGAAAUCUCACCAGGCCCGGACACUGGAAGGAUUGACAGAUUGAGAGCUCUUUCUCGAUUCGGUGGGUGGUGGUG